AGAGUUUGAUCAUGGCUCAGAUUGAACGCUGGCGGCAGGCCUAACACAUGCAAGUCGAACGGUAACAGGAAACAGCUUGCUGUUUCGCUGACGAGUGGCGGACGGGUGAGUAAUGUCUGGGAAACUGCCUGAUGGAGGGGGAUAACUACUGGAAACGGUAGCUAAUACCGCAUAACGUCGCAAGACCAAAGAGGGGGACCUUCGGGCCUCUUGCCAUCGGAUGUGCCCAGAUGGGAUUAGCUAGUAGGUGGGGUAACGGCUCACCUAGGCGACGAUCCCUAGCUGGUCUGAGAGGAUGACCAGCCACACUGGAACUGAGACACGGUCCAGACUCCUACGGGAGGCAGCAGUGGGGAAUAUUGCACAAUGGGCGCAAGCCUGAUGCAGCCAUGCCGCGUGUAUGAAGAAGGCCUUCGGGUUGUAAAGUACUUUCAGCGGGGAGGAAGGGAGUAAAGUUAAUACCUUUGCUCAUUGACGUUACCCGCAGAAGAAGCACCGGCUAACUCCGUGCCAGCAGCCGCGGUAAUACGGAGGGUGCAAGCGUUAAUCGGAAUUACUGGGCGUAAAGCGCACGCAGGCGGUUUGUUAAGUCAGAUGUGAAAUCCCCGGGCUCAACCUGGGAACUGCAUCUGAUACUGGCAAGCUUGAGUCUCGUAGAGGGGGGUAGAAUUCCAGGUGUAGCGGUGAAAUGCGUAGAGAUCUGGAGGAAUACCGGUGGCGAAGGCGGCCCCCUGGACGAAGACUGACGCUCAGGUGCGAAAGCGUGGGGAGCAACAGGAUUAGAUACCCUGGUAGUCCACGCCGUAAACGAUGUCGACUUGGAGGUUGUGCCCUUGAGGCGUGGCUUCCGGAGCUAACGCGUUAAGUCGAACCGCCUGGGGAGUACGGCCGCAAGGUUAAAACUCAAAUGAAUUGACGGGGGCCCGCACAAGCGGUGGAGCAUGUGGUUUAAUUCGAUGCAACGCGAAGAACCUUACCUGGUCUUGACAUCCACAGAACUUUCCAGAGAUGGAUUGGUGCCUUCGGGAACUGUGAGACAGGUGCUGCAUGGCUGUCGUCAGCUCGUGUUGUGAAAUGUUGGGUUAAGUCCCGCAACGAGCGCAACCCUUAUCCUUUGUUGCCAGCGGUCCGGCCGGGAACUCAAAGGAGACUGCCAGUGAUAAACUGGAGGAAGGUGGGGAUGACGUCAAGUCAUCAUGGCCCUUACGACCAGGGCUACACACGUGCUACAAUGGCGCAUACAAAGAGAAGCGACCUCGCGAGAGCAAGCGGACCUCAUAAAGUGCGUCGUAGUCCGGAUUGGAGUCUGCAACUCGACUCCAUGAAGUCGGAAUCGCUAGUAAUCGUGGAUCAGAAUGCCACGGUGAAUACGUUCCCGGGCCUUGUACACACCGCCCGUCACACCAUGGGAGUGGGUUGCAAAAGAAGUAGGUAGCUUAACCUUCGGGAGGGCGCUUACCACUUUGUGAUUCAUGACUGGGGUGAAGUCGUAACAAGGUAACCGUAGGGGAACCUGCGGUUGGAUCACCU
Molecule: ribosomal RNA, 1530 nt
Filed under: Escherichia coli
Lineage: Bacteria; Pseudomonadati; Pseudomonadota; Gammaproteobacteria; Enterobacterales; Enterobacteriaceae
Description: bacterial SSU rRNA
Rfam family: Bacterial small subunit ribosomal RNA
Source: RNAcentral